Molecule: ribosomal RNA, 23 nt
Filed under: Fritillaria karelinii
Lineage: Eukaryota; Viridiplantae; Streptophyta; Magnoliopsida; Liliales; Liliaceae
Description: partial 28S ribosomal RNA
Source: RNAcentral
AGGAGGGCGUGUCGUCUCGCAAU